AAUAGAUACCCAGGUAGUCCACGCCGUAAACGAUGAGUGCUAAGUGUUAGAGGGUUUCCGCCCUUUAGUGCUGCAGCAAACGCAUUAAGCACUCCGCCUGGGGAGUACGGUCGCAAGACUGAAACUCAAAGGAAUUGACGGGGGCCCGCACAAGCGGUGGAGCAUGUGGUUUAAUUCGAAGCAACGCGAAGAACCUUACCAGGUCUUGACAUCCUUAUGCCAUCCCUAGAGAUAGGGCUUUCCCUUCGGGGACAUAAGUGACAGGUGGUGCAUGGUUGUCGUCAGCUCGUGUCGUGAGAUGUUGGGUUAAGUCCCGCAACGAGCGCAACCCUUGAUCUUAGUUGCCAGCAUUAAGUUGGGCACUCUAAGGUGACUGCCGGUGACAAACCGGAGGAAGGUGGGGAUGACGUCAAAUCAUCAUGCCCCUUAUGACCUGGGCUACACACGUGCUACAAUGGAUGGUACAAAGGGCAGCGAAACCGCGAGGUUAAGCCAAUCCCAUAAAACCAUUCUCAGUUCGGAUUGCAGG
Molecule: ribosomal RNA, 529 nt
Filed under: uncultured bacterium
Lineage: Bacteria
Description: bacterial SSU rRNA
Rfam family: Bacterial small subunit ribosomal RNA
Source: RNAcentral